UUUUUUUUUAAGUCAAAAAAG
This 21-nucleotide non-coding RNA is filed under the name Caenorhabditis elegans. Lineage: Eukaryota; Metazoa; Nematoda; Chromadorea; Rhabditida; Rhabditidae. The record is from RNAcentral.